This 447-nucleotide ribosomal RNA is filed under the name uncultured bacterium. Its description in RNAcentral is "bacterial SSU rRNA". It matches the Rfam family "Bacterial small subunit ribosomal RNA", at positions 355 to 825 of the family's 1533-position model. The record is from RNAcentral.
UCGGGAAUUUUGGGCAAUGGGCGAAAGCCUGACCCAGCAACGCCGCGUGAAGGAUGAAGUAUUUCGGUAUGUAAACUUCGAAAGAAUAGGAAGGAUAAAUGACGGUACUAUUUAUAAGGUCCGGCUAACUACGUGCCAGCAGCCGCGGUAAUACGUAGGGACCAAGCGUUGUUCGGAUUUACUGGGCGUAAAGGGCGCGUAGGCGGCAAUUCAAGUCAUCUGUGAAAUCUCCGGGCUUAACCUGGGAACGGCAUUUGAAACUGGCGAGCUAGAGUUGAGUAGAGGGGAGUGGAAUUUCAGGUGUAGCGGUGAAAUGCGUAGAGAUCUGAAGGAACACCAGUGGCGAAGGCGGCUCCCUGGACUCAAACUGACGCUGAGGUACGAAAGCGUGGGUAGCAAACAGGAUUAGAUACCCCAGUAGUCCCUGAGCGGGCUGGCAAGGCGCAU